AGGAUUGUGAUGAAGAGAAGAGUAUAUUUGAGGAAGAUUUUGCAGAGAGGUCAGUCAGGUGAAAGUGAUCAAUACAAAUCAAAUAGAAGAUGGUCUUGGAGCAUUGUGGUCGAAUGAUUAGAUUACAACGGGAAGUGCCCGUUACAGCACGACGGUAUGACGAGAAAUCAAGUACCGGUAGAGGUCAAAAUAGUGAUAUUUUGAUAAACAAAAGGUGGUAACGCGAUAAUUCGUCCUUUUU
This 241-nucleotide non-coding RNA is filed under the name Filifactor alocis. RNAcentral describes it as "T-box sequence". It matches the Rfam family "T-box leader". Rfam says of the family: Uncharged tRNA acts as the effector for transcription antitermination of genes in the T-box leader family. Lineage: Bacteria; Bacillati; Bacillota; Clostridia; Peptostreptococcales; Filifactoraceae. The record is from RNAcentral.